GAGCCUGCUUGUGUAGGAUAGGUGGGAGGCUUUGAAGCGUGGACGCCAGUUCGCGUGGAGCCAUCCUUGAAAUACCACCCUGGCAUGCUUGAGGUUCUAACUCUGGUCCGUAAUCCGGAUCGAGGACAGUGUAUGGUGGGCAGUUUGACUGGGGCGGUCUCCUCCUAAAGAGUAACGGAGGAGUACGAAGGUGCGCUCAGACCGGUCGGAAAUCGGUCGCAGA
Molecule: ribosomal RNA, 223 nt
Filed under: Pseudomonas aeruginosa
Lineage: Bacteria; Pseudomonadati; Pseudomonadota; Gammaproteobacteria; Pseudomonadales; Pseudomonadaceae
Description: partial 23S ribosomal RNA
Rfam family: Bacterial large subunit ribosomal RNA
Source: RNAcentral